CCUCCAUGUGCAUGUUAUUAAGCUUGUAUUUUUCUCUUAUUAACUGGUCUGACGAUGUGAAUUUGUUUGUCUAGUCCCAGAAGCACCCAAACGAGAUGGGUAGACUCUUCCCUGCACCUGGACAAGUCUGUUUAGGAAGAUUCAGUCCAGAGUAAAAUCAAAAGAGGAGACCUAACCGUUACUCACACCUGUAAGCCUGUAACCUUCAGCCUAGUCCCACCCUGCACAGGAGCCCGGUGAAAUGGCAGGUUCUGAAGUCCUGAAGUUCUGAAGUGCCACAGAAGGUAGUAAAUCCAUGCAGAACUUUGAACUGAGAGUUACUGAUAGGAAAGCAAGUAUCUACUUUAUGUUAAGAGAGAAUUAGCUGAGAGUUCAAACCAAAACAAUGAACAUGUUUAAUCAGUAAGCAGCAUUUCUGAAAUCAUGAAAGAUGACUGUUGGAUCAGUGAAAAGCAGAAUAUUGGUCCAAGACAUUUUCAUAUUGGUUUGUUUGUUUGCUUGAUUUUUAACCAUAGUACUAUUCAGCUCUGGGUUAUAGUUGUGCUAGAGGUUGAACUUGGGACUUUCAUGCCUCAGGCAUGAAA
Long non-coding RNA from Erinaceus europaeus (western European hedgehog), 584 nucleotides. RefSeq lists it as uncharacterized. The transcript has 2 exons. NCBI's taxonomy places the organism in Eukaryota, Metazoa, Chordata, Mammalia, Eulipotyphla, Erinaceidae. The record is from RefSeq and is a predicted model, not a curated record.